CUUGUCCAUACACAGAGAGAGCGGGAGCGAGAGAGCGAGAUAUGUGGAGAGGCUGUGGAUUUAACUACGAUAGAGGAAAGGAGAGUAUGGGAAAAACCCCUCAGACCCCGGGCAGAGUUCAGCUAGACACAGAGAGUAAGAGAGAGAGAGAUGAUGUAUUAUGUCCUUAAAGUCCAGGAGCUGGAUAGGACAAAUAGUCCAGAAACAGAGGAUUACGUCCGGGUUAAAAUAUGACUCAAGAUACCUACCCAAAGAUGUAAACACGGGGUCUAGCGUCUAAGGAUCUGGCUCGGCGCCUGCAUGAAGCUGCACCUUCCCUAACAAAGGAGGAAAGAGGGCGAGGAAGGAGGGAGUAAGGAAGUCACUGAACGAGUGGACAGGGCUGUGCUCUCAUAACAACCCACAGAUAACCCAAAGACCUAAUCACACUCUUUUAUGGGAGCUGAUAUUUUCCUCCCUCCAAUGCGAUGUUCUCACGGCUAGGUUCAUCUGCUGGUUCCAGCUGCAUUUGAAUGAACACACUGUCUCAAAUGGCACCCUAAGGGCACUACUUUUGACCAGGGCUCUACGGGUUCGGUCAAAUGUAGUGCACUGUGUCGGGAAUAGGGUGCGAUUUGGGACGCAAGCACUGUGAAGGCGGUCGUGAAAUGGAGACAUGCUCCUGAAUUCCUUACACAGAUUCAUGGAGUCAAAUCUCAGUCAUAAAGUAAGACAAAUCUGAGAAAAUGUGGAGGUGUUACAUUGACUUCUUUCUUUCUUUCAGAUAGCUGAAAAACGUUAUAGAGGUAACAACUUUCCCAUUUCUACACCAUUUAAAUAUCCAAACUCACUGUGGAGUUAUAAAUAGGUCCAUUUACAGUAAGGCCACCAUGGCAGCCCCAGAGGACAAACAAUGUGUCAGUCCCAAAUUGCACCUUAUUCUCUAUAUAGUACACUCUCUACAGUGCACUACCCAUAGGACUCUAGUCAAAAGUAGUGCACUAUGAAGGGAAUAGUGUGACAUUUUGGAAACAGACCAGUUAACAUUCGAGAAGGGGAUUUACAGUGGACCUCAUUGGCAUAAUCUCAAGGGAUUUGGUGAUUGCAACAACACCGUGAUGUCUAUCUCGAUCUCCUCCUCCCAGCAGACCAGACAAAAGUGAGGCGCCUUCAUGGCGUUCACCCUUUGAUUAUGUUUCUUUCGCUCCUUUGAUGGGAAUCAGUAAACAGUUCCUGAUACCUCCUCACACA
Long non-coding RNA from Oncorhynchus keta (chum salmon), 1230 nucleotides. RefSeq lists it as uncharacterized. Lineage: Eukaryota; Metazoa; Chordata; Actinopteri; Salmoniformes; Salmonidae. The transcript is spliced from 2 exons. The record is from RefSeq and is a predicted model, not a curated record.